Molecule: ribosomal RNA, 447 nt
Filed under: marine sediment bacterium BB0608_2216_2.1_8S0
Lineage: Bacteria
Description: bacterial SSU rRNA
Rfam family: Bacterial small subunit ribosomal RNA
Source: RNAcentral
GCGAGACCUUCGGGUCUAGCGGCGGACGGGUUAGUAACGCGUGGGAACGUGCCCUUCUCUGCGGAAUAGCCACUGGAAACGGUGAGUAAUACCGCAUACGCCCUUCGGGGGAAAGAUUUAUCGGAGAAGGAUCGGCCCGCGUUAGAUUAGAUAGUUGGUGGGGUAACGGCCUACCAAGUCUACGAUCUAUAGCUGGUUUUAGAGGAUGAUCAGCAACACUGGGACUGAGACACGGCCCAGACUCCUACGGGAGGCAGCAGUGGGGAAUCUUAGACAAUGGGCGCAAGCCUGAUCUAGCCAUGCCGCGUGUGUGAUGAAGGUCUUAGGAUCGUAAAGCACUUUCGCCAGGGAUGAUAAUGACAGUACCUGGUAAAGAAACCCCGGCUAACUCCGUGCCAGCAGCCGCGGUAAUACGGAGGGGGUUAGCGUUGUUCGGAAUUACUGGGC